CUGUCUAGCUGGUGUAGGCGUUCCUUCUGGAAGAUGCAGUUCAGGAUACUACUGCCCUGAAGGAACAAUGUAUGGUACCCAAUUUCCUUGCCCUAGGGGAACCUACAGCAUUAAAAUGGGUAAUGGUGGAAAGGAGGAUUGUGUUGUAUGCCCUGAAGGCUAUUACUGCAAGGAAGGUUCAUCUAAACCCGUACCCUGCCCUCCAACAACAUUUCGCCAAUUUAAAGGAGGCCAAAGGCCGGAGGAUUGCACUGUGUGUCCAGCUGGCUACUUCUGUCCCCACUCAGCCACAGUUUACCCCAGAG
Silurus meridionalis is the source of this 305-nucleotide long non-coding RNA. RefSeq lists it as uncharacterized. The record is from RefSeq and is a predicted model, not a curated record. NCBI's taxonomy places the organism in Eukaryota, Metazoa, Chordata, Actinopteri, Siluriformes, Siluridae. The transcript is spliced from 3 exons.